UUCCCUAAUUCACUGACCCUAACAGCACCCUUACCCUCCUUCAACAUAACACCACACAGAACGGAAGAAAGGAACGCAUAGACAAAGGGAAGAUGCUGCUGCUUCGCUGCCGUCGUGACCGCCGUGACCGCCGCACGAGAGGAUCCCAUGCCACCAUCGUUAGCGUUGCCCAGCCUUACCCGCGCUUCUGUGUUUGCUGUAAGCCGUUCGUGGAGCUGCGAAGAGCAUCAUCGUCGCGCCCAACCCAUUUCGCCGCCGUCGCUGCUAGCGCUCAUCGCAGGAAGCAUUGCCGUCGCUGUCAGAGAUCGGUGUUCCCUCACCGUUGCUGCGUCGCUGUCGAUGAAGCUUCUAUCGCCGCCGUGAAUUGCGAACAGAGGAGAGUGAGAGAGGCCGAAGAUGCGAGAGAGAAGAGGUGAUGAAUGAAGUCGUCCCUGAAGCCUUGGCCGUUGCUACCAGAGGCGUGGAGGAAGGGAGGCAGAACCGCGAGAUAGAGGAUGCACUGUGACUAUCAUUGCUGCUGCGAGUGUGGUCCACCGUAAAGUUGCACGCCGCCAUCGCCAUCGGAAACCACCGUUAGAACUACUACUAUUUUGUUGCCACCGAGGUCGUUGGUGCUUGUCAAGAGUGCUAUUCUGGUUCUGAAUUGAUUAGUUCAUGCCACUGCUGCUGCUGAGAAGUGAUCAGAAAUGCCGCUGCUGUUAGUUCGGUUCAAGGUUGCUGUUACCACUGCGAAUUAAAAAUAAAAGAAGGCUUUGUUGCGUUUGAUUAUCGAAUUUCGGCUAGUCGAGUGACACAGGUUCGAAGACUCCGUUUGAAGCUGCAGGCGAUUAUAGAUCUCAUUUAUGAGUUAAGUUUAUGACUCGAGUUAUUUUCAUAGAAGUUCCCUCGCUCUUAUUGCUUAACAUUUUAUUUUAUACAGAGGGAUAGGAUUUGUAUGUGAGUUUUAUUUGAAAUCUUUUGUAUGACAGAUAUUAUUAUUAAUGAUUAUGUGAUUAUUAUUACUUGGUGAUGCUUGCUAUAUGAUUUGAUAAAUAAAAACAAAAUUUUCUGGUAUUUUUACUAAAACAAAAUCGCGAUAUCGAACUAAAGGCUCAAUAGUAAAUAGUUAAUAAAGGAAAACAGGUUGGUAACACCUUACUUUCGGUACGAUCAUGACGUUCUGGAAGUUGGGUCGUUACAAAAUGUCACAAUAUCCAUCCAAACUCCAAUUUGGUCCAACAUGAGAAAGCAUUUCUAGCAUGAUUUCCUCAUCCCUUUUCCAAGGUUCAAAGGAGAUCCAAUUAUGGAGAGUUUCUUUUCCAAGACAACUAAUCAAUUGAAUUAAGAUCGAAAGCUUUCUAGUAAGAUCAAGAGAAAAGAAAGAAGAAGAAGAAUAAGAACUAUAAUUGAUCUAUCAAAUUACAAUAGAGCUCCCUAACCCAAUGAAAGGGGUUUAGUUGUUCAUAGCUCUAGGAAUAAAAAAUGGCAGAAAAGAAGAAUCCAUGCUAAAAGUAUAGAAAAGUAAAUAGCAGAGAGUAGUUCCCAAAAGUGCUAAGCUCCUCUCUAGUUCAAAACUACUCCUAUUUAUACUACUCCUUAUGAUCUUCUAGUAAGUUCUUCAAGUCUUAGAUGUGGGCUCUGGACCUU
Molecule: long non-coding RNA, 1626 nt
Organism: Arachis duranensis
Lineage: Eukaryota; Viridiplantae; Streptophyta; Magnoliopsida; Fabales; Fabaceae
Exons: 3
Source: RefSeq, a predicted model, not a curated record